CUUUUCAUUCCCGUUGUUAUGGAGGGCCACAUCUGCCAGAGCCUGGAGUCUGCGAAGGCCGGGACCCGGUUCCCCGGCCCACAGUGGGGGUGUGCAAACCCGAGAGAACUGGUCGCUGAAACCUCUACAACUUAGUUGACCGUAACUGCCAGAGCCCUGCCCUGAAUUCCUGUCCUUACUCCCUCUUUAAGAUUGCGUACCCACUGCAGAGUGCUGAAGACGGGGUAGCCACGAGGUUGCAAAUUCGUGAAGAAUCAGCAUCAUGUUUGGCAGCUGAGUAUUGGAGCCAGGAGCCUGCCAUGAGGUUUUGAGAACAGAGUGCUGUUUUAGAGCUGGCAGCAGCAUCUCAGCCCAAGAGAAGUUUCUUUGCAGGUUAUAUUCCCAGAGGAUGUCAGUCCCAAGGACCAGUAGCUGCCAUCAGUUUGGAUUCUGAAAACUAACUGGCAUCAACACUGGGUGUAGAAACAUGCUUGCCUUAUGUAUCAGAGGACAUGCUCAGCAGAUCCAAGAGAUAUAUUUGGCAACUUUUUCUAGAAAAGGCACAUUGGGUAUCAUUCAUUACAUUCUUGAGUUUUUUUGGGUUUUUUUUUUUUUUUUUGAGACAGUCUUGCUGUAUUGCCCAGGCUGGAGUGUGGUGGCACAAUCACAGCUCAUUGCAUCCUCAAUCACCCAGGCCUAAGCAAUCCUCCCACCUUGUAGCUGGGACUACAGCUCACAGCACACCUGGCUAAAAUUUUUUUUUUGUUGAGACGGAUUCUCUAUGUUGCCCAGGCUGGUCUCAGGCUCCUGGGCUCAGAUGGUCCUCCUGCCUCAGCUUCCAAAGGCACAGGCCAAGUUGUAGCUUUGUCCCUUGCCAUCAUGCCCAACAAGAGGUUCUAUACCUUUUAAUGAAUUGACUUUCAUAAAUUGGUUAUGUUGGUGGGCAAAGUUCUUUAAGCUGGAAAUUGUAAAUUCCUCCUGAAAUGUUUUUUCAUGCAGUUACCAUGAACUAAUACUACAAUAAAGGAUGGUCUUGGGUGUCAA
RNAcentral lists this long non-coding RNA (1023 nucleotides) under Homo sapiens (human). RNAcentral describes it as "small nucleolar RNA host gene 29". The record is from RNAcentral. Lineage: Eukaryota; Metazoa; Chordata; Mammalia; Primates; Hominidae.